GACGAACGCUGGCGGCGUGCCUAAUACAUGCAAGUAGAACGCACAGUUUAUACCGUAGCUUGCUACACCAUAGACUGUGAGUUGCGAACGGGUGAGUAACGCGUAGGUAACCUGCCUGGUAGCGGGGGAUAACUAUUGGAAACGAUAGCUAAUACCGCAUAAUAUUAAUUAUUGCAUGAUAAUUAAUUGAAAGGUGCAAUUGCACCACUACCAGAUGGACCUGCGUUGUAUUAGCUAGUAGGUGAGGUAACGGCUCACCUAGGCGACGAUACAUAGCCGACCUGGGAGGGUGAUCGGCCACACUGGGACUGAGACACGGCCCAGACUCCUACGGGAGGCAGCAGGAGGGAAUCUUCGGCAAUGGACGAAAGUCUGACCGAGCAACGCCGCGUGAGUGAAGAAGGGUUUCGGAUCGUAAAGCUCUGUUGUAAGAGAAGAACGGGUGUGAGAGUGGAAAGUUCACACUGUGACGGUAUCUUACCAGAAAGGGACGGCUAACUACGUG
This 505-nucleotide ribosomal RNA is filed under the name uncultured bacterium. RNAcentral's name for it is "partial 16S ribosomal RNA". It matches the Rfam family "Bacterial small subunit ribosomal RNA", at positions 28 to 507 of the family's 1533-position model. The record is from RNAcentral.